Molecule: transfer RNA, 69 nt
Filed under: Rhodomonas sp. CCMP768
Lineage: Eukaryota; Cryptophyceae; Pyrenomonadales; Pyrenomonadaceae
Source: RNAcentral
AAUAAAGAAAAAAAAAUUUUCUCCCUAGUUAAGAUUUUUAAGUUUAAACUACAUUCUCAUAAAGGAGGG